Molecule: ribosomal RNA, 254 nt
Filed under: uncultured bacterium
Lineage: Bacteria
Description: partial 16S ribosomal RNA
Rfam family: Bacterial small subunit ribosomal RNA
Source: RNAcentral
GAUCUGGCUCAGGAUGAACGCUAGCUACAGGCUUGACACAUGCAAGUCGAGGGGCAGCAUGACCUAGCAAUAGGUUGAUGGCGACCGGCGCACGGGUGAGUAACACGUAUCCAACCUACCGGUUAUUCCGGGAUAGCCUUUCGAAAGAAAGAUUAAUACCGGAUAGUAUAACGAGAAGGCAUCUUCUUGUUAUUAAAGAAUUUCGAUAACCGAUGGGGAUGCGUUCCAUUAGUUUGUUGGCGGGGUAACGGCCC